This 254-nucleotide ribosomal RNA is filed under the name uncultured bacterium. Its description in RNAcentral is "partial 16S ribosomal RNA". It matches the Rfam family "Bacterial small subunit ribosomal RNA", at positions 524 to 776 of the family's 1533-position model. The record is from RNAcentral.
GACAGAGGGGGCAAGCGUUGUCCGGAGUAACUGGGCGUAAAGCGCCCGCAGGUGGUCGCGGCAAGUGCGCUGUGAAAGCCCGCGGCUUAACCGCGGGAGGCCAGGGCAGACUGCCCGACUGGAGCGAUGCAGAGGGUGGUGGAAUUGCCGGUGUAGUGGUGAAAUGCGUAGAGAUCGGCAGGAACACCAAGGGGGAAGCCAGCCACCUGGGCAUCGGCUGACACUGAGGGGCGACAGCGUGGGGAGCGAACUGG